UAAAAUUUGAUUUUGGUUUUAUAAAAACCGAAGCUUUUGUAUAAAACAUUAAACAAUUAAAUAAAAAAGUUUUAGCAGGUUUUUUAACAAAACUAAACCUUCAUGUAGAUGUGCGUUUUUGUUUAAUUUAAUAAAGAACAAGUAUAAAAGUUUGUCAGGUAGAAAAAAAAGUGCCAGCAUCUGCGGUUAUACUUGUUAAUGUCCUAAUUGUGUUUUUAUUUAAGAAGAAAAACCAUAUAAAUUAUAAUUUCUCAAUAUUGUUGUUUUUAUAUACAAUUGGGGUUAAAUUUAUUAUUUUAGUACCGUUAAAAUUUAUAAUAGGGGAAAGCUUACAAAUUAAACCUGAAUUUGGUACUCAGCUAUAAAUAAAUGCUUAUAUUUUAAUUAUUUUUCUUUAAAAAAUAAAAAGAUUUGGCAGUAAGUAAAAAUUUCUGGGGAGUGUGUGGUUUUAAGGAAGUUACACCUAAUAAUUAAAACUGGCAAUUUAUUAGUGUACGGUUGUCUAAACUAAGGAUUUGUCUUAAGAUAAAAACUCCUAAAUACAAAUCGUUGUGCUGUUUUUCUGGUUAUUACUCAUUCACUACUUUAAAGACAGAUUUCAUUUAACUCAAAUUUAGUUUUUUUGUUUUAGGACUCGAAAGUAAAAAUUUUCUAGUUUGAAAUUUUGAAAUUAAAAUUUUUUAUGUACACACCGCCCGUCAAUUUUUUUUGAAAAAUAAGUCGUAACAUGGUAAGUCUAACUGAAGUUGGACUUUGUUAUUU
RNAcentral lists this ribosomal RNA (762 nucleotides) under Obrimoposthia wandeli. RNAcentral's name for it is "12S ribosomal RNA". Lineage: Eukaryota; Metazoa; Platyhelminthes; Tricladida; Uteriporidae. The record is from RNAcentral.